RNAcentral lists this unclassified non-coding RNA (241 nucleotides) under Hevea brasiliensis (rubber tree). Lineage: Eukaryota; Viridiplantae; Streptophyta; Magnoliopsida; Malpighiales; Euphorbiaceae. The record is from RNAcentral.
GGAGACCCGAUCUCAAUUCUCGGCCUCACGCGAUCUUAAUCCCCAACCUCACCUUGAGGAGGCCCGAUCUCAAUCCCCAACCUCACCGUCGCCAUGGUCAGGGAGUGGACGACGACGAGAGGCGUCGCCGAGCUCGAGAUCGGCGCCUGGUGGGCGGAGGAGAUGCGCGGCGGCCCCGGGUACCGCGCCAUGGAGGCGGAGGCCGUCCGCCGCCACCACCGCCACGAUCCGACUGACCGCC